CCGCUCCUCUUGACAUCCAGGGAUGAGCCAGCCCGAGGAGGAAGGAGCAAGAUGCUGGGUCUGGGGACCUUUUGAAUGGAAUUGGGAAGUAACCAGAAGAGAAAUGUCCAGAGGCAGGUGCACAGACGCCUGAGAGAGACGCCAUGCCCC
Microtus oregoni (creeping vole) is the source of this 150-nucleotide long non-coding RNA. RefSeq lists it as uncharacterized. The transcript is spliced from 3 exons. The record is from RefSeq and is a predicted model, not a curated record. Lineage: Eukaryota; Metazoa; Chordata; Mammalia; Rodentia; Cricetidae.